GGCUGGUCUGAAGGUAGUGAAUUAUCUCAGUCAAUUGUUCACAGUCAGUUACAGAUUGAGCUCCUUGUUCUACUCUUUCCUUUUUCCCUUCUUCUCACUACUGCACUUGAUAGUCUUAA
Molecule: unclassified non-coding RNA, 119 nt
Organism: Homo sapiens (human)
Lineage: Eukaryota; Metazoa; Chordata; Mammalia; Primates; Hominidae
Rfam family: Y RNA
About the family: Y RNAs are components of the Ro ribonucleoprotein particle (Ro RNP), in association with Ro60 and La proteins. The Y RNAs and Ro60 and La proteins are well conserved, but the function of the Ro RNP is not known. In humans the RNA component can be one of four small RNAs -- hY1, hY3, hY4 and hY5.
Source: Ensembl